ACKGCUCAGUAACACGUGGCUAACCUACCCUUGAGACGGAGACAACCCCGGGAAACUGGGGCUAAUCCCAGAUAGAUGAGAACUCCUGGAACGGGUUCUCGUCCAAAGGGCGUCUAGGUCAUGCUUCUAGGCGUCGCUCAAGGAUGGGGCCGCGCCCGAUCAGGCUGUUGGUGAGGCAACGGCUCACCAAACCUUUAACCGGUACGGGCCGUGGGAGCGGGUGCCCGGAGAUGGGAACUGAGACAAGGUCCCAGGCCCUACGGGGCGCAGCCGUUGCGAAAACUCGUCAAUGCACGAAAGUGUGAACGGGCUACCCCGAGUGCUGUCCGCUGAGGAUGGCUUUUCUCUGCUGUAAGGAGGCGGAGGAAUAAGGAGAGGGCAAGUCUGGUGUCAGCCGCCGCGGUAAUACCAGCUCUCCGAGUGGUGGGGAUGUUUAUUGGGCCUAAAGCGUCCGUAGCCUGCCCUUCAAGUCUUUCGUUAAAUCCAGCGAUUCAAUCGUUGGACUGCAGGAGAUACUGCAAGGCUAGGAGGCGAGAGAAGCCGACGGUAUUUUCGGGGUAGGGGUAAAAUCCUAUAAUCCCGAGAAGACCACCAGUGGCGAAGGCGGUCGGCUAGCGCGCGCUCGACAGUGAGGGACGAAAGCUGGGGGAGCGAACCGGAUUAGAUACCCGGGUAGUCCCAGCUGUAAACGAUGCUGGCUAGGUGUUGAAGCGGCCACGAGCCGCUUCAGUGCCGCAGGAAAGCCAUUAAGCCAGCCGCCUGGGGAGUACGGCCGCAAGGCUGAAACUUAAAGGAAUUGGCGGGGGAGCAC
Molecule: ribosomal RNA, 811 nt
Filed under: uncultured Sulfolobales archaeon
Lineage: Archaea; Thermoproteati; Thermoproteota; Thermoprotei; Sulfolobales
Description: bacterial SSU rRNA
Rfam family: Archaeal small subunit ribosomal RNA
Source: RNAcentral